This 429-nucleotide ribosomal RNA is filed under the name Actinomycetes bacterium. RNAcentral's name for it is "Actinobacteria bacterium partial 16S ribosomal RNA". It matches the Rfam family "Bacterial small subunit ribosomal RNA", at positions 355 to 776 of the family's 1533-position model. Lineage: Bacteria; Bacillati; Actinomycetota; Actinomycetes. The record is from RNAcentral.
UAGGGAAUCUUCCGCAAUGGGCGAAAGCCUGACGGAGCAACGCCGCGUGAGUGAUGAAGGUCUUCGGAUCGUAAAACUCUGUUAUUAGGGAAGAACAAAUGUGUAAGUAACUAUGCACGUCUUGACGGUACCUAAUCAGAAAGCCACGGCUAACUACGUGCCAGCAGCCGCGGUAAUACGUAGGUGGCAAGCGUUAUCCGGAAUUAUUGGGCGUAAAGCGCGCGUAGGCGUUUUUUUAAGUCUGAUGUGAAAGCCCACGGCUCAACCGUGGAGGGUCAUUGGAAACUGGAAAACUUGAGUGCAGAAGAGGAAAGUGGAAUUCCAUGUGUAGCGGUGAAAUGCGCAGAGAUAUGGAGGAACACCAGUGGCGAAGGCGACUUUCUGGUCUGUAACUGACGCUGAUGUGCGAAAGCGUGGGGAUCAAACAGG